UUUUAUGGAGAGUUUGAUCCUGGCUCAGGAUGAACGCUGGCGGCGUGCCUAAUACAUGCAAGUCGAGCGAACGGACGAGAAGCUUGCUUUUCUGAUGUUAGCGGCGGACGGGUGAGUAACACGUGGAUAACCUACCUAUAAGACUGGGAUAACUUCGGGAAACCGGAGCUAAUACCGGAUAAUAUUUUGAACCGCAUGGUUUAAACGUGAAAGACGGUCUUGUUGUCACUUAUAGAUGGAACCGCGCUGCACUAGCUAGUUGGUAAGGUUACGGCCUA
Molecule: ribosomal RNA, 278 nt
Filed under: Staphylococcus aureus
Lineage: Bacteria; Bacillati; Bacillota; Bacilli; Caryophanales; Staphylococcaceae
Description: partial 16S ribosomal RNA
Rfam family: Bacterial small subunit ribosomal RNA
Source: RNAcentral